This is a non-coding RNA of Oryza meridionalis, 206 nucleotides long. Lineage: Eukaryota; Viridiplantae; Streptophyta; Magnoliopsida; Poales; Poaceae. The record is from Rfam.
AAUAAGUGCAGUUUUGUACUAUUUAUGUUCAACGUUUGACCGUUCGUCUUAUUUGAAAAUUUUUAUGCUUAGUAUUUUUAUUGCUAUUAGAUGAUAAAACAUGAAUAGUCCUUUAUGCGUGACUAAAUAUUUUUAAAUUUUUUACAAUUUUUUAAAUAAAACGGAUGGUCAAACGUUAGAAAUGGAUAUCUAUAGCUACACUUAUU